GGAAGGGAAAGGUGCCCGGUGGUGCUGCCGGUCUUCAAAACCGGAGAUCCUGUCAAAACGGCGGGAUGGUGGGUUCGACUCCCGCUCCCUUCCGCCA
RNAcentral lists this transfer RNA (97 nucleotides) under Pseudomonadota bacterium. RNAcentral's name for it is "Proteobacteria bacterium (cold seep metagenome) tRNA-Sec". It matches the Rfam family "Selenocysteine transfer RNA". The record is from RNAcentral. Lineage: Bacteria; Pseudomonadati; Pseudomonadota.